UGGGGAAUAUUGCACAAUGGAGGGAACUCUGAUGCAGCGACGCCGCGUGAACGAAGAAGGCCUUCGAGUCGUAAAGCUCUUUUAUAUGGGAAGAUAAUGACGGUACCAUAAGAAAAAGCCCCGGCUAACUACGUGCCAGCAGCCGCGGUAAUACGUAGGGGGCUAGCGUUGUCCGGAAUCACUGGGCGUAAAGGGUUCGCAGGCGGAAAUGCAAGUCAGAUGUAAAAGGCAGUAGCUUAACUACUGUAAGCAUUUGAAACUGCAUAUCUUGAGAAGAGUAGAGGUAAGUGGAAUUUUUAGUGUAGCGGUGAAAUGCGUAGAUAUUAAAAAGAAUACCGGUGGCGAAGGCGACUUACUGGGCUCAUUCUGACGCUGAGGAACGAAAGCGUGGGUAGCAAACAGG
This 403-nucleotide ribosomal RNA is filed under the name Fusobacteriota bacterium. Its description in RNAcentral is "Fusobacteria bacterium partial 16S ribosomal RNA". It matches the Rfam family "Bacterial small subunit ribosomal RNA", at positions 355 to 776 of the family's 1533-position model. The record is from RNAcentral. Lineage: Bacteria; Fusobacteriati; Fusobacteriota.